UUGAAACAAUGUUGUUUGUUUGGGGGACAUCCAGAAAUUUCAGUUUUAAAUAAUGAUAUAUUAGCUGCAGGUGUAACAGUACCUAUGCAUUUAUUGCUUCACAGUCUAGCAGUGUUUGUGAGAAAAACUGGUGGAUCCUGCAGAUUAACCAUGGACAGCCAAAUAUUGAGUAAAGUGAUGUCUACAACAGCAUCAGCUAUGCCUGAUAUGGUGUUAAUUCACAUUGUGAAGGAUUGCUAAAGUCCUAUUGCAUGCUUUAAGAUGCUUUGCGUUUGGUGAAUUGAAGCCUGAUAUGUCAACAUAUUCUCUGUAAACACAGCAGCACAGAGGGCAAAGAAACACUUAUCCAGCACCACAGCUAGGACAAAAGGAAUUAUUUUGACAGUAAAUGGACUUGCAGCUUAAGUUAAGUGCAUUAAUAUUGGGAUGGUAUUAACUAUACAAAAUUGUUUCUAAGCAAAGGUGACCAGAUGUCCUAAUUUGAC
RNAcentral lists this long non-coding RNA (485 nucleotides) under Gorilla gorilla gorilla (western lowland gorilla). Its description in RNAcentral is "lncRNA (ENSGGOG00000044457.1)". The record is from RNAcentral. Lineage: Eukaryota; Metazoa; Chordata; Mammalia; Primates; Hominidae.